Brachyspira sp. CAG:484 is the source of this 73-nucleotide non-coding RNA. NCBI's taxonomy places the organism in Bacteria, Pseudomonadati, Spirochaetota, Spirochaetia, Brachyspirales, Brachyspiraceae. The record is from Rfam.
GGGGGUUUAGCUCAGCUGGUAGAGCACCUGCUUUGCACGCAGGGGGUCAGGAGUUCGAAUCUCCUAACCUCCA